Molecule: long non-coding RNA, 559 nt
Filed under: Phoenix dactylifera (date palm)
Lineage: Eukaryota; Viridiplantae; Streptophyta; Magnoliopsida; Arecales; Arecaceae
Description: long non-coding RNA (PDAC_LNC000732)
Source: RNAcentral
AGGGAGAGAGUUGCAUACAGGCAUAUUGAAGAUGUUUAGGUAAAUAACACUGAAAAGUCAUGGUAGGCCAGAACCCGCAAUUUCCGCAGGAAGAAUAGGCAACAUAAUUUUGAUGUACGAUCUGCUGACCAAAUUCGAGGACAGAUGCAAUCUAUCCCAAGAUUCUUGCUUAGUUAUUGUUAUACUAGUAUGGGUCUCCAUAUGGUUAUAACCACCGAUUAGAAUAUAUUCUUGAUGAUGGAAGUGCUCAGGAUAUUUUUUGCAUUGUCAUGUGGUUUCUCGGAUGACACCUACUUAAUCUUAUUGCAGCACUUGAACUAAUCUUGUUGCUGUACUUGAGUUAGGUUUCUGUAAUUUAAAUCUGGUUCCAGACUCUGUUUUCUUUUUCAAUUACCAGAAAAAACAGUCCUGAUGCCUGACUUCCCAGUCCAAGUUAACUAUUACUAAAUACUGUUGACCGCCAGUGUACCAAUGGCAAUAUGUAGCAGAAGCCUUUUAAAACUCGAGCUGACACCCUGAUACCGGAAGGUCUUAUGUAGAGAAAUGCAACGCCAUCAUC